RNAcentral lists this long non-coding RNA (221 nucleotides) under Physcomitrium patens. Its description in RNAcentral is "long non-coding RNA (PPAT_LNC004498)". The record is from RNAcentral. Lineage: Eukaryota; Viridiplantae; Streptophyta; Bryopsida; Funariales; Funariaceae.
GGGGUGGGAGGGGACCAGUAACACAACCAUUGUGUGAACGAUGCAGCUGCUGCUGCUGCAGCGGGUCGUCGCAACCUGCCAAGUACCCGUGACAGAGUGUCGCAGGCUUCGGUCAGGGGCAGUCGCGGGUAAUGUUGAUCAGAAAGUUUGCACUGGGUGGGCGUGGGGACCAGAAAAUGAAGCAGUGAAUGAAUGAGUGAGUGGAUCCAGAGACGAUGGAU